RNAcentral lists this ribosomal RNA (497 nucleotides) under uncultured bacterium. Its description in RNAcentral is "partial 16S ribosomal RNA". It matches the Rfam family "Bacterial small subunit ribosomal RNA", at positions 28 to 507 of the family's 1533-position model. The record is from RNAcentral.
GACGAACGCUGGCGGCGUGCCUAAUACAUGCAAGUUGAGCGCUGAAGGUUGGUACUUGUACCAACUGGAUGAGCAGCGAACGGGUGAGUAACGCGUGGGGAAUCUGCCUUUGAGCGGGGGACAACAUUUGGAAACGAAUGCUAAUACCGCAUAAAAACUUUAAACACAAGUUUUAAGUUUGAAAGAUGCAAUUGCAUCACUCAAAGAUGAUCCCGCGUUGUAUUAGCUAGUCGGUGAGGUAAAGGCUCACCAAGGCGAUGAUACAUAGCCGACCUGAGAGGGUGAUCGGCCACAUUGGGACUGAGACACGGCCCAAACUCCUACGGGAGGCAGCAGGAGGGAAUCUUCGGCAAUAGACGAAAGUCUGACCGAGCAACGCCGCGUGAGUGAAGAAGGUUUUCGGAUCGUAAAACUCUGUUGGUAGAGAAGAACGUUGGUGAGAGUGGAAAGCUCAUCAAGUGACGGUAACUACCCAGAAAGGGACGGCUAACUACGUG